GUUUUGUCGUUUCAAUGUAUAGGUUUUGCAACAGAAGUGAAGAAAAAUGGAACAUAGAAAGAAGAAAAAUAUAUGCAUUAUUGUGAUGCUAAUGAUGUUAAAGUCACAAUAUGAGAAAAAGGUUCUUCCUAAAAAAAAAAAAUGUGGGUUAGAUCCUGGAUAGCUAAAAGAGCACAACAAGGUUGUUUUCAUAACCUCUUUCUAGAAUUAUAACUAGAAGAUCCAGACAAGUACUGCAGAUGUCUUCAUAUGUCUUCAGAUUUGUUUGAGGAUCUUGUAAAGAAAUUGAAGCCAUUAAUUAAAAGACAGGAUACUCAUCUUCGACAAAGUAUCUCCCCUGCAGAAAGACUUGCUGUAACAUUACGUCAUUUGGCAACAGGCGGAAGUAAAAAAUCACUAUCUUAUACUUUCCGUCUUGGACAAAGCACUAUAUCUGGGAUCAUAAAGGAUACUUGUCAUGCUCUCAUUCCUGUUUUGCAAGAAACACAUCUUAAAUUUCCUGACAGUGAAUUGGCUUGGAAAGUAAUUGUUUAUAUGGAAAGAUGGAAUUUUCCGAAUUGCUUGGGUGCCAUGGAUGGGAAACAUGUUUGGAUAGAUCCUCCACUUCAGUCUAGUUCCUCAUACUUUAAUAAAGAAUUCCUCAUAUUUUUACAAAGAAACGUUCAGCAUCGUGCUUUUGGGGGUUGUGGACGCUCAACUUCGAUUUAUAUUUGUCGAUGAGAUGAAGGUUUUUCUUUAUCUACAAAUGUGCUCAUACCUUAUCCCAAGGAACAAUGUACAGGAAAAAAAGAGAGAAGAAUUUAUAAUUACAGAUUAUCUAGAGCGAGACGAUGUGUGGAAAAUGCAUUUGGAGUCAUGGUCAGCAGAUUUAAUAUAUUCAGAUCUCCAAUGAGAUACGACCCAGAUGAUACUCGUUGCAUUGUAUUGGCGAUUUGUUGUCUUCAUAACAUGUUGAGAUCUCACAGUAUAGGCCGUAUGAUGUAUACUUCACCAGGAUAUAUUGAUAUGGAAGAUGAAAUGACAGGUCAAUUGCAAUAUAGAGAAUGGCGAGAUGAACAAGGACAAGGUUUAUUAAGAUUACAACAUCAAGGAGGCAACUCCAUACUUCUGCUGCCAUAGAAAUGCGAGAAAAUUUAUGUGAAUAUUUUAAUAACAUUGGAAGAAUACCAUGGUAAGAUCAGGCAAUUCAGUGACAGUAAAAUAAAAUAUAUUUUUGUAGAAUUUUUAUCCACUUUGUAUUUUACCAGCUUUGUAUUUUAUGAGCAUAACAUAUUUAGAUAACAAUUAUAAAUAAACAAUAUUAAUAUU
This is an RNA transcript of Harpegnathos saltator (Jerdon's jumping ant), 1308 nucleotides long. It is a transcript of the gene named protein ANTAGONIST OF LIKE HETEROCHROMATIN PROTEIN 1-like, with no coding region annotated. The transcript is spliced from 5 exons. The record is from RefSeq and is a predicted model, not a curated record. Lineage: Eukaryota; Metazoa; Arthropoda; Insecta; Hymenoptera; Formicidae.